GACGAACGCUGGCGGCGUGCCUAAUACAUGCAAGUAGAACGCACAGUUUAUACCGUAGCUUGCUACACCAUAGACUGUGAGUUGCGAACGGGUGAGUAACGCGUAGGUAACCUGCCUGGUAGCGGGGGAUAACUAUUGGAAACGAUAGCUAAUACCGCAUAAUAUUAAUUAUUGCAUGAUAAUUAAUUGAAAGGUGCAAUUGCACCACUACCAGAUGGACCUGCGUUGUAUUAGCUAGUAGGUGAGGUAACGGCUCACCUAGGCGACGAUACAUAGCCGACCUGAGAGGGUGAUCGGCCACACUGGGACUGAGACACGGCCCAGACUCCACGGGAGGCAGCAGUAGGGAAUCUUCGGCAAUGGACGAAAGUCUGACCGAGCAACGCCGCGUGAGUGAAGAAGGUUUUCGGAUCGUAAAGCUCUGUUGUAAGAGAAGAACGGGUGUGAGAGUGGAAAGUUCACACUGUGACGGCAGCUUACCAGAAAGGGACGGCUAACUACGUG
Molecule: ribosomal RNA, 504 nt
Filed under: uncultured bacterium
Lineage: Bacteria
Description: partial 16S ribosomal RNA
Rfam family: Bacterial small subunit ribosomal RNA
Source: RNAcentral